GAUGAACGCUGGCGGCGUGCUUAACACAUGCAAGUCGAACGGAAAGGCACUGCUAUCGUGGGGUGCUCGAGUGGCGAACGGGUGCGUAACACGAGUGUAACCUGCUCUACACUUUGGGAUAACUUCACGAAACUGGGGCUAAUACCGUACAGCAGCCCACGUUCCAUGGUGGGCGUUGGAACGUCUCGGCGGUUGGGGUUGGAUGAGCGGGUUAUCAGCUUGCUAGUGGGGUAGUGGAUUACCAAGGCAUGGACGGGUAGCCGGCCUGGGAGGGGGAACGGCGACAAUGGGACUGAGGGACGGCGCAGACGCGUACGGGAGACAGCAGUGGGAAGUAUUGCACAAUGAGCGGAAGUCUGAUGCAGCAGCGCCGCGUUCGGGAUGACGGCCUUUGGGGAGAGAACCGCAUUAGCCUGAGACGAAGCGUUAGUGACGGUAAUGAAUGAAGAAGCACCGGCUAACUACGUG
This 468-nucleotide ribosomal RNA is filed under the name uncultured bacterium. Its description in RNAcentral is "partial 16S ribosomal RNA". It matches the Rfam family "Bacterial small subunit ribosomal RNA", at positions 28 to 507 of the family's 1533-position model. The record is from RNAcentral.